Molecule: ribosomal RNA, 431 nt
Filed under: Parablax sp. NLG
Lineage: Eukaryota; Metazoa; Arthropoda; Insecta; Coleoptera; Elateridae
Description: SSU rRNA
Rfam family: Eukaryotic small subunit ribosomal RNA
Source: RNAcentral
UUGUCUCAAAGAUUACGCCAUGCAUGUCUCAGUACAAGCCGAAUUAAGGUGAAACCGCGAAAGGCUCAUUAAAUCAGUUAUGGUUCCUUAGAUCGUACCCACAUUUACUUGGAUAUUUUGUGGUAAUUCUAGAGCUAAUACAUGCAAACAGAGCUCCGACCGGAGACGGAAGGAGCGCUUUUAUUAGAUCAAAACCAAUCGGCGGCGGGCGUCUCGCGCGUCCGUCGUCGUUCACUCUGGUGAAUCUGAAUAACUUUCUGCUGAUCGCACGGUCUCGCACCGGCGACGCAUCUUUCAAAUGUCUGCCUUAUCAACUGUCGAUGGUAGGUUCCGUGCCUACCAGGGUCGUAACGAGUACCGGGGAAUCAGGGUUCGAUUCCGGAGAGGGAGCCUGAGAAACGGCUACCACAUCCAAGGAAGGCAGCAGGCGC